AGACUGGUGUGUGGUUCUUGGAAGGGCUCCAGGUGCUUGAAAAGGCUGUCUCAGCGGGUGACAGUCCGGAUGAGUUAAGACAGUUCUCACAUCUGUCCGCUCCGCCCGCCCGAGCACACGGCAGCAGUCGACCGCAGCUUCCUGUCUGCCUUUUCACGGAGGAGGAUGAGUGUGGCCACCCGGCCGUGGGGGCCCCAACCCGGCUGCUCUGCACUGCGGCUAGUCUCCCUGGGAGUCUCCACGGGCUCCUGGUGCCCGGGCCAAAGGCUCCAAGGCUGGUCCCUCAUUUCCAGCAGAAAACUGUUUUCCUGGACUGUCUUUUUCUUGGCUUACAGAUUCGUGACUGCACUUUCCCAAGAAGUGUUGAAGCUCGGCUUACAUUUUUGUGUGGAGAACCAGCUAAGCCCUUCCUCAAAGUUUUUGUGAGGAAAAGUAAUUUAAAUGUUUGAAAAAGAGUUGUAACCUGGUAAAGUGCCUCCGAAGGCUGCUGAGUGCCUCAGAGAGCAAGUACCGCGUGCUUGCUGCGUGUGGGUGUUCGGGCCAGGUACUUUGGGGUUAUGUGUGUCAACGUGGCCUGGUCCCUACCUGCCAUCACCUGGGGGGGGGCUGUGAACAAUUCCUGUCAAUGUUGAUAGGAGACAGUGAGACUGUGCCGUUAACGGUAGUCUCCGUGACCCUGGACCCUCAGAACAAGCCUGCGAAGUAGGUACUAUCAUAGUACCUUCUAUGAGUAUCCCCAUUUAACAGAUGAGAAACUGAGGCCCAGAGGGAUGAAGUAGCUUGUCCAGGAUCAAAUACAUAGCAAAUACUGGAACUGGGAUUUGCAGCUGGCAAUUGAGAAGGAGGCUGGAAUCCAGAUCAGAGGGUUCUGGA
This is a long non-coding RNA of Phacochoerus africanus (Common warthog), 873 nucleotides long. RefSeq lists it as uncharacterized. The transcript has 3 exons. The record is from RefSeq and is a predicted model, not a curated record. Lineage: Eukaryota; Metazoa; Chordata; Mammalia; Artiodactyla; Suidae.